RNAcentral lists this non-coding RNA (28 nucleotides) under Rattus norvegicus (Norway rat). The record is from RNAcentral. Lineage: Eukaryota; Metazoa; Chordata; Mammalia; Rodentia; Muridae.
UCACCUUGAUUGGGCCCAGGGCGUCUUC